This 492-nucleotide ribosomal RNA is filed under the name uncultured bacterium. RNAcentral describes it as "partial 16S ribosomal RNA". It matches the Rfam family "Bacterial small subunit ribosomal RNA", at positions 29 to 507 of the family's 1533-position model. The record is from RNAcentral.
AGUGAACGCUGGCGGUAGGCCUAACACAUGCAAGUCGAACGGCAGCACAGUAAGAGCUUGCUCUUACGGGUGGCGAGUGGCGGACGGGUGAGGAAUACAUCGGAAUCUACUUUUUCGUGGGGGAUAUCGUAGGGAAACUUACGCUACUACCGCAUACGACCUACGGGUGAAAGCAGGAGCUCUUCGGACCUUGCGCGAUUGAAUGAGCCGAUGUCGGAUUAGCUAGUUGGGGGGGUAAAGGCCCACCAAGGCGACGAUCCGUAGCUGGUCUGAGAGGAUGAUCAGCCACACUGGAACUGAGACACGGUCCAGACUCCUACGGGAGGCAGCAGUGGGGAAUAUUGGACAAUGGGCGCAAGCCUGAUCCAGCCAUACCGCGUGUGUGAAGAAGGCCUUCGGGUUGUAAAGCCCUUUUGUUGGGAAAGAAAAGCAGCAGGUUAAUACCCCGCUGUUCUGACGGUACCCAAAGAAUAAGCACCGGCUAACUUCGUG